Molecule: unclassified non-coding RNA, 207 nt
Filed under: uncultured fungus
Lineage: Eukaryota; Fungi
Description: partial contains 5.8S ribosomal RNA, internal transcribed spacer 2, and large subunit ribosomal RNA
Source: RNAcentral
AAGGAUCAUUACUGAUUGCAAUCGUUGCCUGCUGUGCUGGCCAGACUGGCAAGUGCACGUUGGUGACUUUCAAUCCACUACCCGUGCACCCUUGGCCUCUUGCUAGCUUCGGCCGGCAGAGGAAUUUACACACACUCGAAUGUAAUGAAAUAUAUGUCGUGCGCAAGCACUAAUGUACAACUUUCAACAACGGAUCUCUUGGCUCUC